This 1516-nucleotide ribosomal RNA is filed under the name Lactiplantibacillus plantarum. RNAcentral's name for it is "bacterial SSU rRNA". It matches the Rfam family "Bacterial small subunit ribosomal RNA". Lineage: Bacteria; Bacillati; Bacillota; Bacilli; Lactobacillales; Lactobacillaceae. The record is from RNAcentral.
GGCCGACACCUGCGGCGUGCCUAAUACAUGCAAGUCGAACGAACUCUGGUAUUGAUUGGUGCUUGCAUCAUGAUUUACAUUUGAGUGAGUGGCGAACUGGUGAGUAACACGUGGGAAACCUGCCCAGAAGCGGGGGAUAACACCUGGAAACAGAUGCUAAUACCGCAUAACAACUUGGACCGCAUGGUCCGAGUUUGAAAGAUGGCUUCGGCUAUCACUUUUGGAUGGUCCCGCGGCGUAUUAGCUAGAUGGUGGGGUAACGGCUCACCAUGGCAAUGAUACGUAGCCGACCUGAGAGGGUAAUCGGCCACAUUGGGACUGAGACACGGCCCAAACUCCUACGGGAGGCAGCAGUAGGGAAUCUUCCACAAUGGACGAAAGUCUGAUGGAGCAACGCCGCGUGAGUGAAGAAGGGUUUCGGCUCGUAAAACUCUGUUGUUAAAGAAGAACAUAUCUGAGAGUAACUGUUCAGGUAUUGACGGUAUUUAACCAGAAAGCCACGGCUAACUACGUGCCAGCAGCCGCGGUAAUACGUAGGUUGUGCAAGCGUUGUCCGGAUUUAUUGGGCGUAAAGCGAGCGCAGGCGGUUUUUUAAGUCUGAUGUGAAAGCCUUCGGCUCAACCGAAGAAGUGCAUCGGAAACUGGGAAACUUGAGUGCAGAAGAGGACAGUGGAACUCCAUGUGUAGCGGUGAAAUGCGUAGAUAUAUGGAAGAACACCAGUGGCGAAGGCGGCUGUCUGGUCUGUAACUGACGCUGAGGCUCGAAAGUAUGGGUAGCAAACAGGAUUAGAUACCCUGGUAGUCCAUACCGUAAACGAUGAAUGCUAAGUGUUGGAGGGUUUCCGCCCUUCAGUGCUGCAGCUAACGCAUUAAGCAUUCCGCCUGGGGAGUACGGCCGCAAGGCUGAAACUCAAAGGAAUUGACGGGGGCCCGCACAAGCGGUGGAGCAUGUGGUUUAAUUCGAAGCUACGCGAAGAACCUUACCAGGUCUUGACAUACUAUGCAAAUCUAAGAGAUUAGACGUUCCCUUCGGGGACAUGGAUACAGGUGGUGCAUGGUUGUCGUCAGCUCGUGUCGUGAGAUGUUGGGUUAAGUCCCGCAACGAGCGCAACCCUUAUUAUCAGUUGCCAGCAUUAAGUUGGGCACUCUGGUGAGACUGCCGGUGACAAACCGGAGGAAGGUGGGGAUGACGUCAAAUCAUCAUGCCCCUUAUGACCUGGGCUACACACGUGCUACAAUGGAUGGUACAACGAGUUGCGAACUCGCGAGAGUAAGCUAAUCUCUUAAAGCCAUUCUCAGUUCGGAUUGUAGGCUGCAACUCGCCUACAUGAAGUCGGAAUCGCUAGUAAUCGCGGAUCAGCAUGCCGCGGUGAAUACGUUCCCGGGCCCUUGUACACACCGCCCGUCACACCAUGAGAGUUUUGUAACACCCAAAGUCGGUGGGGUAACCUUUUAGGAACCAGCCGCCUAAAGUGGGACAGAUGAUUAGGGGUGAAGUCGUAACAACGUAACCCGU